Molecule: ribosomal RNA, 666 nt
Filed under: Hansenula anomala
Lineage: Eukaryota; Fungi; Ascomycota; Saccharomycetes; Phaffomycetales; Wickerhamomycetaceae
Description: Wickerhamomyces anomalus partial 18S ribosomal RNA
Rfam family: 5.8S ribosomal RNA (bases 258-411)
Source: RNAcentral
UUUCUCUUGGUUUCAAUAGAGGAAGUAAAAGUCGUAACAAGGUUUCCGUAGGUGAACCUGCGGAAGGAUCAUUAUAGUAUUCUAUUGCCAGCGCUUAAUUGCGCGGCGAUAAACCUUACACACAUUGUCUAGUUUUUUUGAACUUUGCUUUGGGUGGUGAGCCUGGCUUACUGCCCAAAGGUCUAAACACAUUUUUUUAAUGUUAAAACCUUUAACCAAUAGUCAUGAAAAUUUUUAACAAAAAUUAAAAUCUUCAAAACUUUCAACAACGGAUCUCUUGGUUCUCGCAACGAUGAAGAACGCAGCGAAAUGCGAUACGUAUUGUGAAUUGCAGAUUUUCGUGAAUCAUCGAAUCUUUGAACGCACAUUGCACCCUCUGGUAUUCCAGAGGGUAUGCCUGUUUGAGCGUCAUUUCUCUCUCAAACCUUCGGGUUUGGUAUUGAGUGAUACUCUGUCAAGGGUUAACUUGAAAUAUUGACUUAGCAAGAGUGUACUAAUAAGCAGUCUUUCUGAAAUAAUGUAUUAGGUUCUUCCAACUCGUUAUAUCAGCUAGGCAGGUUUAGAAGUAUUUUAGGCUCGGCUUAACAACAAUAAACUAAAAGUUUGACCUCAAAUCAGGUAGGACUACCCGCUGAACUUAAGCAUAUCAAUAAGCGGGGAGGAAAA